AACGCGUGGGAACCUGCCUUUCUCUGCGGGAUAACGGUUGGAAACGACCGCUAAUACCGCAUACGCCCUACGGGGGAAAGGUCCGCCGGAGAAAGAGGGGCCCGCGUCUGAUUAGCUUGUUGGUAGGGUAAUGGCCUACCAAGGCAACGAUCAGUAGCUGGUCUGAGAGGAUGAUCAGCCACACUGGGACUGAGACACGGCCCAGACUCCUACGGGAGGCAGCAGUGGGGAAUAUUGGACAAUGGGGGCAACCCUGAUCCAGCAAUGCCGCGUGUGUGAUGAAGGCCUUAGGGUUGUAAGGCACUUUCACUGGUGAAGAUGAUGACGGUAACCAGAGAAGAAGCCCCGGCUAACUUCGUGCCAGCAGCCGCGGUAAUACGAAGGGGGCGAGCGUUGUUCGGAAUUACUGGGCGUAAAGGGCGCGUAGGCGGUCUUUUAAGUUAGGCGUGAAAGCCCCGGGCUCAACCCGGGAACUGCGCUUAAGACUGGAAGACUAGAAAACGGAAGAGGGUAGUGGAAUUCCCAGUGUAGAGGUGAAAUUCGUAGAUAUUGGGAAGAACACCAGUG
RNAcentral lists this ribosomal RNA (567 nucleotides) under uncultured bacterium. Its description in RNAcentral is "bacterial SSU rRNA". It matches the Rfam family "Bacterial small subunit ribosomal RNA", at positions 112 to 714 of the family's 1533-position model. The record is from RNAcentral.